AACACCCUCAAGCUCUGCUUGGUGUUGGGCGUCUGUCCCGCCUCGCGCGCGGACUCGCCCCAAAAGCAUUGGCAGCGGUUUGCCAGCCCGUAGCGUAGCACUAUUGCGCCUGCGGUUUCGGCGGACCGGCGUCCAUCAAGUCACCCACA
Molecule: unclassified non-coding RNA, 149 nt
Filed under: Keissleriella trichophoricola
Lineage: Eukaryota; Fungi; Ascomycota; Dothideomycetes; Pleosporales; Lentitheciaceae
Description: partial internal transcribed spacer 2
Source: RNAcentral